Molecule: ribosomal RNA, 470 nt
Filed under: uncultured bacterium
Lineage: Bacteria
Description: bacterial SSU rRNA
Rfam family: Bacterial small subunit ribosomal RNA
Source: RNAcentral
ACUCCUACGGGAGGCAGCAGUGGGGAAUAUUGCACAAUGGGCGAAAGCCUGAUGCAGCCAUGCCGCGUGUGUGAAGAAGGCCUCGGUUGUAAAGACACUUCUAGCGAGGAGGAAAGGUUAACGUGGCUAAUAUCCAGUAGCUGUGACGUUACUCGCAGAAGAAGCACCGGCUAACUACCGUGCCAGCAGCCGCGGUAAUACGGAGGGUGCGAGCGUAAUCGGAAUUACUGGGCGUAAAGCGUGCGCAGGCGGUUUGUUAAGCGAGAUGUGAAAGCCCGGGCUCAACCUGGGAACUGCAUUUUGAACUGGCAAACUAGAGUCUUGUAGAGGGGGUAGGAAUUCCAGGUGUAGCGGUGAAAUGCGUAGAGAUCUGGAGGAAUACCGGUGCGAAGGCGGCCCCUGGACAAAGACUGACGCUCAUGCACGAAAGCGUGGGGAGCAACAGGAUUAGAUACCCUGGUAGCGACUGA